This is a long non-coding RNA of Juglans microcarpa x Juglans regia, 152 nucleotides long. RefSeq lists it as uncharacterized. Lineage: Eukaryota; Viridiplantae; Streptophyta; Magnoliopsida; Fagales; Juglandaceae. The transcript is spliced from 3 exons. The record is from RefSeq and is a predicted model, not a curated record.
GUUGGAACCUAAAUUCAAAUAGCUGAUGUUUGGAUGCAACGAACGUGACUGGUUUUUAAACCAACGGUUCUAUUUCGUAUCAGUAUUUUGCAUAUCAAAUGAUGCAUUUCUUUGAGGAAAACGCUGACGGGAUAGUGACAGAAAACUCACCG